This is a long non-coding RNA of Drosophila mojavensis, 714 nucleotides long. RefSeq lists it as uncharacterized. Lineage: Eukaryota; Metazoa; Arthropoda; Insecta; Diptera; Drosophilidae. The record is from RefSeq and is a predicted model, not a curated record. The transcript is spliced from 2 exons.
AGCUGAAACGACGUGAAACGACGAUUACCCACACACUCGCGCUACACGUAUAUAGAGCUCUCUUUUUUGCUUCGCCCCGUCCUCUGCUUGUGUGAGUGAGAUAUGCGUAUGUGGCGUGGUUAUAGUUCAUGGGGCUGCCAACUCACCCAAAACAAAAACACACCAAAUGUUGAGUAGAAAACAAACAACAAACACGUACACACAUGUGCAUUCUUUGUGUAGAUCGAACAAUUAACAAUUAAGCUUACUAACUAAAUGGAUUAAUAUUCAGAUUUGGUUGACACUAUUCCCGUUCGCCCGCUUUCUUUAUCGCCCAGUUGAUUGAAUUGGGAAUAUCUCCUCUACACAGUUUAUGGAGUGCCAGUGCUUAUUGAGUUAAGCUGAUUUAUUUGCUAUAUAAUAUAUGUAUACUAUAUGUAUGUAUAUAUGUAUAUGGACAUGGACAUAUUCCAUGAUUCAAGUGACUUGAAAUUGUCAUUUAAGGACCUAUCUCUGCUCAACUUGUUCACAUUGACUGCCCGAACCGAACUCUUAACCUUCACCUCGGCUGAUUGAUUGAAUGCUAUAUAAGGUGGCGGAUUUGAGCGACUAUUUUGAUCACUCAAUUAGAGUUUUUAUGAGUGAGAGAUUACUCAUAUAUAUGUAUACCUAUGUUUAAUUGCUUUAUAAUGAGCCCGUAUCGGCAAUCCAUUAAAAAAUUUGCACUUCAUUAAA